This 190-nucleotide transfer RNA is filed under the name Niveomyces insectorum RCEF 264. RNAcentral's name for it is "Sporothrix insectorum RCEF 264 tRNA". It matches the Rfam family "tRNA". Rfam says of the family: Transfer RNA (tRNA) molecules are approximately 80 nucleotides in length. Their secondary structure includes four short double-helical elements and three loops (D, anti-codon, and T loops). The record is from Rfam by way of RNAcentral. Lineage: Eukaryota; Fungi; Ascomycota; Sordariomycetes; Hypocreales; Cordycipitaceae.
GGUCCUAUGGUGCAGUGGUUAGCAUGGUGCUCUUGUAAGCUAUUGGCCCUAACCGCAGCACGUCUGCCUUUUCCGGGGGAUAUUUUUAGCUAACAACAGCCGAAACAGAUAGAUUCAGGUGGCUUUUCCAAGCCAUUUGGCUCCUAUGACAGUAAUGCACAGGUCGUGGGUUCGAACCCCACUAGGACCA